UAACUCUGCCAAAGCUCUUUAUGAGGGCUGCACAUAGUGACUUCCCUCCGAAGAGUACAAUAUGGAAAGCGGAAAAACAAAGAGUAACUUUACA
This is a long non-coding RNA of Sapajus apella (tufted capuchin), 94 nucleotides long. RefSeq lists it as uncharacterized. The transcript is spliced from 4 exons. The record is from RefSeq and is a predicted model, not a curated record. NCBI's taxonomy places the organism in Eukaryota, Metazoa, Chordata, Mammalia, Primates, Cebidae.